This 347-nucleotide unclassified non-coding RNA is filed under the name soil metagenome. RNAcentral describes it as "partial contains 5.8S ribosomal RNA, internal transcribed spacer 2, and large subunit ribosomal RNA". The stretch from base 1 to 120 matches the Rfam family "5.8S ribosomal RNA", at positions 35 to 154 of the family's 154-position model. The record is from RNAcentral.
GAUGAAGAACGUAGCGAAAUGCGAUAAGUAGUGUGAAUUGCAGAUUUCAGUGAAUCAUCGAAUCUUUGAACGCACAUUGCGCCCUUUGGUAUUCCUUAGGGCAUGCCUGUUCGAGCGUCAUUUAAACCUUCAAGCUCAGCUUGGUGAUGGGUGACUGUCCGCUGCCUCCCCCCGGGGUGCGCCGCGGACUCGCCUCAAAACGAUUGGCGGCCGGUACGUUGGCUUCGAGCGCAGCAGAAACGCGUAACUCAAGGUCCCCGUGGCGGCUCCCAGAAGCAACCUUAUUAUUUUGACCUCGGAUCAGGUAGGGAUACCCGCUGAACUUAAGCAUAUCAAUAAGCGGAGGA